RNAcentral lists this long non-coding RNA (2307 nucleotides) under Sus scrofa (pig). RNAcentral describes it as "lncRNA (ENSSSCG00000048711.2)". The record is from RNAcentral. Lineage: Eukaryota; Metazoa; Chordata; Mammalia; Artiodactyla; Suidae.
ACCUUCCGCUUCCCAGCUCCCUGAGGCUGGGCGCUCAGCAGACGACGUAGUUCUUGUGCUCUUCCCGCCUCGCCUUUCUUUUCUUGGUUUCAAUCCUGGUGUUGCAAGCCAAUUCCCGGGUCUUGUUAGGCGGGAAACACAGACUGCAUUACCCAUGUUUGAAACUGGAUUUGCGCGUUUGGGAAGCAAGAAUGGGGUUACUCUGCUGGAAAAGCUUGACAUUGCAAAUGAGGGAUUUUUACCCUACGGUUCCACAAGUUCCCACUAAGUAUCUGGUACGCGGAAGAGAGGGACAAGGAAGCACAGAGGCUCAGAACAGUUCGUUGUUCACCUCGUCUUUCUACCACAUAAUUCUGCCUCUAGAAAUACAGGAGAAAGAGUAGCCACGCAAAGCUUCUAGGAACUCCUGGGAGAAGCAUUCAUAAACUCUUAUUGCUGCCAGUUCAUCUUGGGGCCUUUCGGUGUGAAGAAAUGGAUCCUUAUCAAAUACUUUUGUGAAAGAACAUUUACAUCCUGCUUUAUUCCAGAAGAAAAGAUUUAAGUUUGAUUGGACCCUUGAGAAGUUAUCCAGAUGAAGAAACUGAAUCCCUCCUCUGGACUCAAAAAUCUGUGGGCUGGACUGGACCAUGAACCUCAUGCGUGCUUGGAGCAGAGCACAUAACACACGGUAUUCCCAUUGUCUGAAUCCCCUAGAGUGGGCUUCUUGACCGCAGAGACUGUAUUCUCUAUCUUUGAAUUCCUCACUUCUAGCACCGUGUCUGAUAGUAAGUGCCCAGCGAUGCUUGUUAAAGCAAUCAGAAUGAACAACAGAGGGGGAAAACAUUCGGAGGAAAAAUCCGUCUCUGAUCUCCCAGGACACGGCAAGGCAAAAUUAUCCAAAAAACCAAAAGUGAGCUUGACCUCAGUGUGUCUUUUUUAGGUGAACAAGUCACAGGCAAGCAUUUGCUGGACUGCCCAGAGCUAUCACUCCCAUCAUUGCUAUUAACAACCAUGGCUUGCUUAUUUUGUCUUGUUGGGGUAUUAGAAUGAGUUCACUCAUAAUUAAGUUCCCUGCUUUAAUUACAGCAGAAAUAAAAUUUAGGCAGCCCAGUGGCUUUGAUUCAGGUAUUUCAGGAAUGUUUUACUUUUGAAGUCUGAAGUAUUAAGGGUAGAUAAAAAACAGCAUCUUGUAUGAAGUUAAAAGUACAGGUUAUCUCAUGGAAAAAGAUGAAAUAUAAUUCUGUGUACCUUAUGAUUAUAAGGGUUCAUCAGAUUUAGUAACUGUUGGAAAACUAUCAUAUCUUUUUUGUAUCUUAAUUAUUUGGUUCUUUUCUCUGAAAAGACUAAAAAUACUGUGAACCCUUAAUUUCAAUGGCACAAAGAAUUGUGCGUUGCAUAUUUAUAAGUCAGCCACAGGACAAAGGGAAGCAAUAAAGAAUUAAACGUUACAUUCUCUUAAGAAAUAUUUUCUUUCAGUAUUACAUAAAUACCUUUGUGCUUUUCCAUUUUCUUUUUUUGAAACCAAGUAACCCUUUGACAUUUCAAAGUGAAAUAACUACACACACAAUUUUUAUACAGAGGCUAGGAUGACUUUUUUUUUUUUUUAGAACUAAGUGUAAUUAACCACACAUGGCAUAUUAUUCAUUGUCCUAUGACCUUUUUAAUUUAAUUUCAUAUUCUGAAAAUGUUUGCUUCUAAAUUUAGGCAGGAAAAUGAGAGAAUGUCAUGGCUGCUUUGCUGGCUGUACUUUAUAGAGGAUUAUACCUAGAUGAAUUUUCAAAUGUGGAUGUUUAAAAAAUGUAUGUACUUUGGCAUAUGUAAGGUUUAAUAGAGCCUAGUAAUUUGGAUUUACAAGAGACUACCCAUCCAAAAUCCUGAGAAAUUCUAAGUAGCUGUAAGGGGGAGGGCCUGGUGGAGUCAAUGAGAGGAAGCAGGCGGAGCAAGGGCACAAAUGGAGACCCACAUACCCUAUGUCCACAUACUUCGUAAUUAUAAAAAAGAAAAAAAAGCUCAAAACUGUUAAACAAGAUGGUCCUGUCCUUCUAACUUGACAAAUCAAUGACAAAAUCCCAAAACAUUGAUAAAGUUAUAGUCUCAAUAUGAUGAAAGGUGGCAAAAUAUCCAAGACGGCUGAAUUGUUGCACAUGUUUGGACGAGCUAGUGACAUUUUGUAUGAGAAACAAAAGAUAUAAAUAAUUCAUAAAUCAUUCAUUUAUUCCACAUUUUCUUAAUUUCAGCAGAUCACUGAAAUCUUUAUGGUCUUAAAAGAUUUUCAUGUAAUUUGUAUUCAACUGACAGUAUUAAAGUAAAAAUAAAGUAUAAUUGUAU